AUCAUUGUCUUUAUGUUCGUAGAGCUGGAUUCCCAAGAUCAUCAACAAAAGAGUGUGCACAACUUUUGUUGAAAACACUUUGAGUAACGGUGGACUCUGUCAGUGUGGUGGGGUGCGAGAAUUGCAUGACUCCGUGGCAACAGGAGACAACUUCGGAGCAGCAAUUGUUACCCAGUGGGACAGCCAGCAGCACUCAUCUGAAUAUCCUACAGAUGCUUUUGGAGAGUUGGAGUUUGCUGGAGCUGGACGCAGACACAGCCAUUUUCUGCGUCUAUCGUGUGACACACCUCCACAUAUCAUCUACACUCUGAUAACAGCCCAUUGGGGCCUCCCCUCCCCCAACCUCGUGGUAUCAGUGGUGGGAGGUGAGGGACAUGAGAAGAUUAAGCCGUGGGUGAGAGAUAUCCUAAGAAAAGGGCUGGUUAGGGCUGCACAGAGUACAGGUAAGAAAUCAUCACUCUGCAUGGAUCCAGCUUAUGUUUAACGUGGAAACUUUGAACUGCAGUAUUAAUUAGUUUGAAUGAAUCCAGGAUAUCAGCGGAUUCUUUUUCUAGAGUGCAGGUCUACUGGAUAACAGGGACAACUGAAACUAAAAUUAUUCAAAUUAUAUCAUCUUAAAUCCAUCUUUAAGUCAAAAAUUAACACAUUUGGUAUGUGGGUGGGGAUAGAUUAUCUGGGGUAGGAUAGGCUCACAAACAAAGCAGCUUUUCUCACUCUCCUGUGUGGCUUGUGGCAACUUCACUGGUCUGUCAACGUUCUAAUUUUAACUCCAGCUUGUGCAGUAUUUUAUUUUGACAAAUAAUAACAUCCACCUCCAUUCUACCUUCUUCCAGCAAAGACUCUUUACACACAUCUGCAGUUCAAUCAUCUCUAUUGUAGUUACUUCAACUGAAUCCCUAGCAGUGGCACAGUUAAUAAUUGUUGGUGAUUUCAACAUUCAUGUUGACAAUCCCCAAGACCGAGGGGCAAAAAAGCUCUGUAAUAUAUUUGAGAGUUUUGGUUUAACACAACAUGUCAAACAAGCAACGCACACUCAUGGACACACA
Poecilia latipinna (sailfin molly) is the source of this 1046-nucleotide long non-coding RNA. RefSeq lists it as uncharacterized. The record is from RefSeq and is a predicted model, not a curated record. The transcript is spliced from 3 exons. Lineage: Eukaryota; Metazoa; Chordata; Actinopteri; Cyprinodontiformes; Poeciliidae.